This 468-nucleotide ribosomal RNA is filed under the name uncultured bacterium. RNAcentral's name for it is "partial 16S ribosomal RNA". It matches the Rfam family "Bacterial small subunit ribosomal RNA", at positions 28 to 507 of the family's 1533-position model. The record is from RNAcentral.
GACGAACGCUGGCGGCGUGCUUAACACAUGCAAGUCGAACGGAAAGGCCCUGCUUUUGUGGGGUGCUCGAGUGGCGAACGGGUGAGUAACACGUGAGUAACCUGCCCUUGACUUUGGGAUAACUUCAGGAAACUGGGGCUAAUACCGGAUAGGAGCUCCUGCUGCAUGGUGGGGGUUGGAAAGUUUCGGCGGUUGGGGAUGGACUCGCGGCUUAUCAGCUUGUUGGUGGGGUAGUGGCUUACCAAGGCUUUGACGGGUAGCCGGCCUGAGAGGGUGACCGGCCACAUUGGGACGGAGAUACGGCCCAGACUCCUACGGGAGGCAGCAGUGGGGAAUAUUGCACAAUGGGCGGAAGCGUGAUGCAGCAACGCCGCGUGCGGGAUGACGGCCUUCGGGUUGUAAACCGCUUUCGCCUGUGACGAAGCGUGAGUGACGGUAAUGGGUAAAGAAGCACCGGCUAACUACGUG